Molecule: long non-coding RNA, 651 nt
Organism: Anguilla anguilla (European eel)
Lineage: Eukaryota; Metazoa; Chordata; Actinopteri; Anguilliformes; Anguillidae
Exons: 4
Source: RefSeq, a predicted model, not a curated record
ACACACACAAACCCCCUGGCCUUCAGCCCACUUUCCAAAUUUUUGGGCCCUGAAAAAACUGUUUUCAGAAGUCACAAGGUCAUACCGGCCUGUUAAUAAGUUUGGAAUAUGUGAAGGCAGGACCUGUUGGGUGUAUUUAACACAGAUUCGAAAGCAUUCUGUUCUAAUAGUUGAGCUUAUGCUUGCACCAGACACAACGUCUCUGUGGCAGAAUGAAGACCUGGGAAAUUAGCCUGACUGGAGUCCUGUUACAGGCUCUGAUUUGUGUCUCAGAUAGCGCUACUGGUGUGGCAAGGUCGGUCACUGUUGCACACGCUACACCAGACCAUCUCUCAUUAAGAAGCUGCCAUUGGAAUACAUCCAAGGUUACAGGAAACAGCACAACAGAGAAGUCUGCAAGAUAGAUGCUGUUGUGUUAUUCAUGACAUACGGGCGGAGUUUCUGCUCAAAUCCGAGUUCAAAGGCAGUGAGAGAAAUACUCAGAGCCCUCAGGGACAGAAAAAGAACAAAGAAGUCAAUGCUUAAUACGAAGUUUAAUACAGGGACAAUGUAGACCUGUUGUGUUUAGUGUGAAGACACCUUCAGCAAACUAAACUGGGUGUUGUUUUGUACAAUUACAAAGUGCCUUACACAGUAUGUCUAAUGUCUGUC